UGUGCCAGCCGCCGCGGUAAUACAGAGGGUGCAAGCGUUAAUCGGAAUUACUGGGCGUAAAGCGCGCGUAGGUGGUUCGUUAAGUUGGAUGUGAAAUCCCCGGGCUCAACCUGGGAACUGCAUCCAAAACUGGCGAGCUAGAGUAUGGUAGAGGGUGGUGGAAUUUCCUGUGUAGCGGUGAAAUGCGUAGAUAUAGGAAGGAACACCAGUGGCGAAGGCGACCACCUGGACUGAUACUGACACUGAGGUGCGAAAGCAUGGGGAGCAAACAGGAUUA
Molecule: ribosomal RNA, 277 nt
Filed under: uncultured Pseudomonas sp.
Lineage: Bacteria; Pseudomonadati; Pseudomonadota; Gammaproteobacteria; Pseudomonadales; Pseudomonadaceae
Description: partial 16S ribosomal RNA
Rfam family: Bacterial small subunit ribosomal RNA
Source: RNAcentral